RNAcentral lists this non-coding RNA (103 nucleotides) under Candidatus Gallimonas intestinavium. RNAcentral describes it as "THF riboswitch". It matches the Rfam family "THF (Tetrahydrofolate) riboswitch aptamer". From Rfam's summary of the family: THF riboswitch presents a pseudoknot that joins P1-P2 and the loop of P3 and two THF binding. Lineage: Bacteria; Bacillati; Bacillota; Clostridia. The record is from RNAcentral.
AGAGUAGCCAAGGUGCGUCAAGUGCUGCGAAACGGGACGUUGUUCGCAGACGAAAGGGGCAAAAAUCUCAGCAUUGCCUCUGCGGUGCCGCGGCGCGUCCGCU